This 1096-nucleotide ribosomal RNA is filed under the name uncultured bacterium. Its description in RNAcentral is "bacterial SSU rRNA". It matches the Rfam family "Bacterial small subunit ribosomal RNA", at positions 63 to 1152 of the family's 1533-position model. The record is from RNAcentral.
CGAGGGGUAACAGGAAGUGCUUGCACUUUGCUGACGACCGGCGCACGGGUGCGCACCGCGUAUGGAACCUACCUUUUGCAGGGGAAUAGCCCAGGGAAACUUGGAUUAAUGCCCCGUAGCACUAUUUUGCGGCAUUGCAUUAUAGUUAAAGCCUUCGGGCGGCAAGAGAUGGCCAUGCGUCCCAUUAGUUGGAUGGUAAGGUAACGGCUUACCAUGGCUACGAUGGGUAGGGGCCCUGAGAGGGGGAUCCCCCACACUGGUACUGAGACACGGACCAGACUCCUACGGGAGGCAGCAGUGAGGAAUAUUGGACAAUGGAGGAGACUCUGAUCCAGCCAUGCCGCGUGCAGGAAGACGGCCCUAUGGGUUGUAAACUGCUUUUAUACGGGAAGAAAAACAGCUACGUGUAGUUGACUGACGGUACCGUAAGAAUAAGGACCGGCUAACUCCGUGCCAGCAGCCGCGGUAAUACGGAGGGUCCGAGCGUUAUCCGGAAUUAUUGGGUUUAAAGGGUCCGUAGGCGGGCCAUUAAGUCAGGGGUGAAAGUCUGCGGCUCAACCGUAGAAUUGCCUCUGAUACUGGUGGUCUUGAGUUAUGGUGAAGUGGCUGGAAUAUGUAGUGUAGCGGUGAAAUGCAUAGAUAUUACAUAGAACACCGAUUGCGAAGGCAGGUCACUAACCAUAUACUGACGCUGAUGGACGAAAGCGUGGGGAGCGAACAGGAUUAGAUACCCUGGUAGUCCACGCCGUAAACGAUGGAUACUAGCUGUCCGGGUCCUUGAGACCUGGGCGGCCAAGCGAAAGUGAUAAGUAUCCCACCUGGGGAGUACGUUCGCAAGAAUGAAACUCAAAGGAAUUGACGGGGGCCCGCACAAGCGGUGGAGCAUGUGGUUUAAUUCGAUGAUACGCGAGGAACCUUACCAGGGCUUAAAUGCAUAUUGACAGGGGUAGAGAUACCUUUUCCUUCGGGCAAUUUGCAAGGUGCUGCAUGGGUUGUCGUCAGCUCGUGCCGUGAGGUGUCAGGUUAAGUCCUAUAACGAGCGCAACCCCUACCGUUAGUUGCCAGCGAGUCAUGUCGGGGACUCUAACGGGACUGC